Molecule: long non-coding RNA, 690 nt
Organism: Leopardus geoffroyi (Geoffroy's cat)
Lineage: Eukaryota; Metazoa; Chordata; Mammalia; Carnivora; Felidae
Exons: 2
Source: RefSeq, a predicted model, not a curated record
UGUUACGGGUUGAAUUGUGUUCCCCAAAAAGAUAUGUUGAAUUUCUAAACCCUAGCACCUCAGAAUUUGACCUUAUUUGGAAAUAAGGUCAUUGCAGACAUAACAAGUUAAGAUGACAUCAUAAUGGAUAGAUGGGGCCUCAAUCCAGUGAUUGGUAUGCUUAUAAGAGAAGACACAGAAACAAAGGGAAGAAAACACCGCAAGAAGACACAAAUAAAAGAAGAACACCAUGUGACAGCAGAGGCAGAGAUGGCCUUUCCUAUUAAAGUGAUAAAUGCUUACAAAACAGAUAUCCAGCUACAUAACCAAGCAGAUUGAAUGGGACUGGGGGACAUUUCACAACAGUGAUUUUGAUUCUUCAAACUUUUGGAGACAAAACAACUUUCAGAUGAAGAAUGAAAUUUGAAGCCAGAAUAGCAUGCGAUGAAAAACAUUUUAAAUCCAUGCCUUCUUUUUGAAGUUGUAUCUUUUUGGAUGCUCAAGAGUGAGUUGGAUUUGCAGCCACAAAUCAAAUGUUCAGAAAUCCUUGGCUGUCUGAGCCUGGCGGCCCUCAUCCAGCCAGCUGGACGAUAAAACACCUGGGUUGAUUCUAUUUAUUCUGGAGGGGAGGAGCAAGGCUGUGCAAAACAACAUGAAGAAAGACUCGUCUUUGCAAAAUUGCAAUGUAUCUAAAAUUUCGUUGUCUUCUCA